RNAcentral lists this ribosomal RNA (253 nucleotides) under uncultured bacterium. RNAcentral describes it as "partial 16S ribosomal RNA". It matches the Rfam family "Bacterial small subunit ribosomal RNA", at positions 524 to 776 of the family's 1533-position model. The record is from RNAcentral.
UACGUAGGGGGCAAGCGUUGUCCGGAUUUAUUGGGCGUAAAGCGCGUGUAGGCGGCCAGAAAAGUCCGCUGUGAAAACUCGAGGCUCAACCUCGAGCUGUCGGUGGAAACUUUCUGGCUAGAGUCCGGAAGAGGAGAAUGGAAUUCCUGGUGUAGCGGUGAAAUGCGUAGAUAUCAGGAAGAACACCCGUGGCGAAGGCGGUUCUCUGGGACGGUACUGACGCUGAGACGCGAAAGCGUGGGGAGCGAACAGG